RNAcentral lists this ribosomal RNA (471 nucleotides) under uncultured bacterium. RNAcentral describes it as "bacterial SSU rRNA". It matches the Rfam family "Bacterial small subunit ribosomal RNA", at positions 791 to 1257 of the family's 1533-position model. The record is from RNAcentral.
UAGUCCACGCCGUAAACGAUGUCAACUAGCCGUUGGGAGCAUAUAAGCUCUGAGUGGCGCAGCUAACGCGAUAAGUUGACCGCCUGGGGAGUACGCCGGCAACGGUAAAACUCAAAGGAAUUGACGGGGGGCCCGCACAAGCGGUGGAGCAUGUGGUUUAAUUCGAUGCAACGCGAAAAACCUUACCUACCCUUGACAUCCUCAGAACUUGUUAGAGAUAACUUGGUGCCUUCGGGAACUGAGUGACAGGUGCUGCAUGGCUGUCGUCAGCUCGUGUCGUGAGAUGUUGGUUAAGUCCAGCAACGAGCGCAACCCCUGUGGCUAGUUACUACCAUUAAGUUGAGGACUCUAGUCAGACUGCCCAGAUCAACUGGGAGGAAGGUGGGGGAUGGACGUCAGGGUCAGUAUGGGCCCUUACGCCUAGGGGCUGCACACGUACUACAAUGCUCAGUACAAUGAGAACCGAUCCCG